Myxocyprinus asiaticus (Chinese sucker) is the source of this 998-nucleotide long non-coding RNA. RefSeq lists it as uncharacterized. Lineage: Eukaryota; Metazoa; Chordata; Actinopteri; Cypriniformes; Catostomidae. The transcript is spliced from 3 exons. The record is from RefSeq and is a predicted model, not a curated record.
CUCUACUGUUGGUGUUAGCUGUUCGCCACGCUUCUCUGUAAUACUGGCAUUUUUAAUCUGAAAAUAUUGGUUGUUUUGUUAGACCGAAUUAAUGACUAAAAAUUGUUCCUGGGAAAUAUAAAAGAACAGAUCUCAAUUCCUGGUGUCUGUCAUUCAUUCAUCAUUAAAGUUCCAUCAAAAACAUCUGGAGUCUAACUGCAACACUUCCUGGUCCCAUUCUUGCAUGGAAACAAUGACAAUGACUCGCCUCAAUCCGGAUGGCGGAGGAUGAAUCUCAGUGGAGACAGUCAAUCCGCGCAUCUUAUCAUGUGGCUUGUUGAGCGCGUUACUGCGGAGACCUAGCGCAUGUGGAGGCUUCACGCUAUUCUCCGCGACAUCCACGCACAACUCACCAUGCACCCCACCAAGAGCGAGAACCACAUUACAGCGACCAUAAGGAGGUUACCCCAUGUGACUCUACCCUCCCUAACAACCGGGCCAAUUUGGUUGCCCAGGAGACCUGUCUGGAGUUACUCAGCACGCCCUGGAUUUGAACUCGCGACUCCAGGCCCCGAUUAUUGACUCAUUAUUAACUACACAAGUACUACACUUAGUAUUCAUGUCAGUUAAAUCACAUAUCUUCUAUAAUUUUUUGGUGGUUUGUCAUGAAGAUGUAGUCAUAGCAUGCAUGUGUAUGGUGAGUAAAAUGUGUUGUGGGACCAAUAGUGGUAGGGUGAGGGAAUGGGAUGGAGAAUCAUGCAAAAUGGGUUAAGAAAAAAUUAUUUGUGGCAAUUAUUAAUAUAUUUAUUUUAUUAAUAAGUUUGAUAAGGACGAUACAUGUAAAUAAUGGCAGAAUAAUCCUGUCAUCUUAUGAUGUUUGUGGAGAAACUGCAGACAGCAAAAGUUAGUAUAAAAUUAUGAAAUAUUAAAUAAUGCAUGUUUUAAGGUUUAAGUAAUGCAUAUUCUUUCUGAUAAAGCCUGUUUGAUUUCACAUGUAAUGUAACAAACAUUUUAUGUAA